Molecule: ribosomal RNA, 397 nt
Filed under: Traxus fulvus
Lineage: Eukaryota; Metazoa; Arthropoda; Insecta; Hemiptera; Issidae
Description: partial large subunit ribosomal RNA
Source: RNAcentral
GAUUAUUUAAAUAGCCGCGGUAUUUUAACUGUGCUAAGGUAGCAUAAUAAUUAGUCUUUUAAUUGAGGUCUGGUAUGAAUGGUUUGACGAGAAAAAUACUUUAUUAAUUUAAUUUUUUUGAAUUUUGGAUUUUAGUUAAAAUACUAAAAUUUUUUAGAGGGACGAUAAGACCCUGUAGAUCUUUAAAAUUUUUAGUAUUUUAUUUUUUUUGUUGUUUUUUUUUUUAUGCUAAUAUUUUUUUUGUUGGGGUGAUAAUUAAAAUUUUAAACUUUAUUUUAUUUUUACAUUUAUUUAUGUUUUUUUUGAUCCAAAAUUUUUGAUUUUAGGAUAAAGAUACCUCAGGGAUAACAGCGUUAUAUAAUUGGAGAGUUCAAAUUGAUAAUUAUGUCUGCGACCU